This 4132-nucleotide long non-coding RNA is filed under the name Equus asinus (donkey). RNAcentral's name for it is "lncRNA (ENSEASG00005031789.1)". The record is from RNAcentral. Lineage: Eukaryota; Metazoa; Chordata; Mammalia; Perissodactyla; Equidae.
UAAAUAAUGUAUGUAUGUAUAUGUAUUAAAUAGCUGUAGAUCGGUCCAUCCAUGUAUAGAUAACUCCUAAGAAUUGAUCUCUCUCUGUCUUCAGUUAGGAAAAAGGUUGAUUUGAUGCAUGAGCCAAAGAGUGACUUUAGGAGCUGGAAAAUAAACAGAACCUUAAAGCUAUGUUUAGUUAAAAUGUCUAGUCAGCAUAGCAAUGAGGAAAUACUUCAAAGCAAUUCUCCCCUUUAUACAGCAUUUUGACUCUUUACAUUUAUUUGUUAUUUUUAAUCCGGUGGUGAUUUCUUCACCAAGCUGGGCUUCCUUCUUCAGAGAUGGGGCCUUGAAAAUUGCGCCUGCCAACACAGGGCUUUGUCAGUGCUAGGUGGGCUCCCUGGAGCACCCCCCCACCCAUGCCACAUAAUACACACUGGCCCGUACACCAUCACCCCACGGAGUAAGUCUCUGAUGUUGGGGCCACAAUGAAGAAAGCCCCAGCCCGCAAGACCCCUUUCUUCUGCAGGGUCUGGGCCGAGGCCCUGUAGCUACAGUCCCAUCUUCAAGGGCCUAAGAGACAGGCUGCUUUGGCCUCAGGGCCCUGGCCGAAAACCACUGCAGCCAUAGGAUGCUGACCCUCCUGAGUCACCCACAACCAGGAUUCCAUCUUCUAAGUGAGGGAGGUAGCGUUGACCAAGGUGCAGGGCUUUCCGUCCUGCCGGCUUCAUGCCGAGUAUGUCUAGCCAGUAAGGAGGAAUGGGGGCUCCUUUUUGUUUGUUUGUUUUCUCCUGAGAUAUAACUCACAUGCCAUAAGUUCUACCAUUAAAAAGUGUACAAUUCAGUGGGAUUUAUUAUAUUCACGAAAUUGUGCAACCAUCACCAUGAUCUAAUCCCAGGACAUUGUUUUCCUUUUUGUCAUUCACAUUUUUGGACGCGAUCCAUUGGUAGGUUGACUGGGAAGCAGGACUCCUCGGGUCUCUGUGGUUAAAUUAAGACCUGAAUGCCUCCUGGGUGCCCUGUUUCACCGCUGGGUCUGGGGACGCAGGUGCAGCGCCCCGCGGGGGGCAGAAGUUGAGGCUUGUCCACGCUACCUCCGUUGCUCUCCGGCUUGUGAGUCAGGGGCGUAUGUAUGUCCACGUGCUGGAUGGGUUCUAGAGGAAACACAGAUGGGCUGUGCACCUGGCAGGGCUGGGGAGAGACGAGACAGACUUUGGCACAGAGAGAGGCCUUUGUAAAACAGUCCUCACGCACACAAAAAUGCUUAAAGAAAAAAAAAUGAGGCCUGGAUGUGGUUUGGCUUCUCUGGAUGGAAAAGUGGAUAGGAAUCUGGUUCUUUCAGUUCUGUUUGCCAAAGUCUGGUGUCUCCAAAUGCAUUCAUUUACCUUUUUAGCUGUCCAGGUCAAGGCAUUUUGGUGGCUCUGAAAGGAAAGCAAGAGGAAAGGACGAAGGAGGGCAGAGGCUCUCGGACGUGAACGCUGCCAGGUGUCUACACACAUGGAGCAGAGAACCCAAGCUUCCUCAGGGCCCAGUGCCCCAGAGUUUCCUUAGAUGAGCUGGUGAAUGCCUGAAAGUGCCCCGUGUGUGCAGACGCUCUCUCGAGCGCAGUCCUUACAAUUGCCCUGGGGGGUGGGGGGUGGUCAUUCAUUCAUUCCAUAUUAUUUAUUGAAUCCAUACCAUGAGCCUGACCGCUGUCUGCACACAUGAGGACACCGGGGCCUGGAGAGGCUAAGCAAUUUGCCAAAUUGAGGCAAGAUGGCAGGUGCUUAAAGAGUGAGGCUCGGGGAUCUGAAAGGCAUGGGUCUGGGUCCUGGUUCCACCUCUCUCUCCUCCUUGUGAUGGCAGCCAAGUUUCUGAGCCUCCAUUUCCUCAUCUGUACAUGGGGCAGUGCUAGGACAUCUCCCAGGACUGUUUUGAGGAUUGGGUGAGAUUCCCUGGGCAGGGUUUAGGAUGAUGGCAGGCACACAGGGUGCUCAGGGCAAGUUAGCUGUUAUUAUUAUUACUGCCCAAGGUCACACAGUGAGCCAGGUUUAGAACCUGCUUUUCCCUUCCCUCGCCAUGUGCUGCCUCCAGAGCCACCUGCCUCACUUAAUCCUCCUGAGUCUUUGAGGAUCUUCGAAGGCUUUCUCCACCCCAUCUACCCUGUGGUGAUGGCCACCCCGGGAGGCAAGGGUCGGUGGGGAAUUGUCCCCUCCCCUGCACUGCUGGUGGUGGGGAAAGGUAGGCCUGACCUGCAGCCAUCCGCCUGUACCUGGACAUUCUCACCUGCCGGCUGGCUCUCUCCUUCUCUAGGACUGUUCUAGAAUCCCUGGAAAAGUCUGGGAAACACGAGCUCCACACAGAUUCAUCCCUGUGAGCUUCGGGAUCCUAAUGUGUCAGAUGCGGCAGCUCACACCUGGCCUCCACUCGCUCCCUCCGGUGUGCCCAAAUGGGAUUACACAUCUGGCAACAGCCCUUUCCAGUCCUCCUCUCAGGACCGUUUUCUCUCAGUGCAGGACGAAUGAGUUUCCGCUCUCCCUGCAGGGAGCCCUUGCCUCCUGAGGCCAAGGAGGCCUUCGCCCUUCAGUUCUGUCCGUGUGGAGGAGACCGUGCCUGCCGGGUCGCCGGCGCAUCCCGCAGACUCCCGCGAGUGUGUGUAGGUGUGCGUCUGCGAGGAGGGUCUGCUCCUGAUGAAGCGGUUUCUGUCCUACAACAACCCCGAGGGCACAAACACCUGGAGCAGAGGGAGACCCGGGGACUCCUUGCCCCAUCGUACCUGGGCGCUGCGGGCUGCGUGGUGGUUUGUCUCCCAAAGGUCCCGAAGUCCCGACCAGGUCGGACUGGGUGGGAUCUGUGAUGCUUGGGGGCGGGAUGACGGCUGGAGACCCCUCUCCGCACAGCGGGGCGGGGGGCGGGGUCUGCAGGGCCGCCCCUGCACGUGCGUCCCCACCAAACCCGAGGGCGCCCGGCUCCACGCGCACGGUAGCGCGGAAACGGCGAGAAAUGGGAGGUGCGCAUCUCCCGCGCUGCCGGGUGCCUUCCUGCGACUUCAAGUUUGGGACCCGCGUCCGCGUUUUUGUUUCCGGGAACCUUUAGGCGGGUGCGGGGCGCUUCGCCAGGGCCCUGCCCAGCUCACGGACCCCGCCUGGAGCACCCGGCUCCCCAGCGCCGCGCCUCGGCCGUGCCCCACGCCUGCUCCUGCGCCCCGGGCCGCACGGAACGGUGUCACCCCAGCGGCCCGCAGCGCCGGAACUUGGGGGCGCGGUGAGUGGGGGCGGGGCGCCGGGCCGGCAGGCGGUGGCCGCGUGGGGUGCCCGUUUCUGGCACUAGAAGUCCUUUCUCAUCUCCUUGAAUCUGGGGCUGCGUGGGACCUUUGAGCUCUCCAGGCUGACAAUGUCGUGGAGACGACAGGUCCAGACCCGGGACACGUCCGUCACCCGCGCCCGGGACGCAGGUUUCUUCUUCCCUGUUCCCGGGGAGAGGCCCGGGGGCUGGGCGUCGCGGCGAGCGUCCCCGUGGAUUCCGUUUGUUUUCUUACAGGACCCCCUCGGCCCGCCUGGGCUUCGGUCCCGCCGCGGACAGGCGAGGAGCCUGCGCAAGAGUCGCGAUGGCCGUGGAGCCCCGGACAUCGGCUCUGGGAGGCGCGCCCCGGGACUCGGCGGGGGGCGGAGGCGAGGGGCGCUGCGCAAAGUCGGCGCUCUGGCCAGGGAAGCGCCAGCCCGGGCAGGCGGCGGCGGUGGAGGGGCACGGGGCCCGGACCCUGUGCCCGGGAAACCUGCUCCACGGCCAGGCGCGCGCCAUUGCCCUGCAGCGCGCCCCGACGCGGCGGCCCUGGCCUCCGGCAGUGAGCACACCCCAUCCCCCGACUGACCGCGCAGAUCUGGGGGGAUUUCGAGAUGUUGCGGGAGUCUUGCAGCCAAGCCCCGGGAAGGAGGGGGCUGGAAGCCCGCGCGACCUGCUCGUCCGGUCCUGGGUGAGCGCAGAGUCGCUAGGAGGAUGGUGUGAGACGCCUCAUUUGUUCACAGAUACUCCUGGAUCCACCCCAUGUUCAAGGUUCUGCAACAGUGGGCCAGACAGACCACUGCUGCCCUCCUGGACUUUCCAGUCCAGUCACGACAACGGAAGCCCAGCUCAUCAGUUAACCCCCAGAGCCGGCAGCCUUCGCAGAGUGCCA